This is an RNA transcript of Colossoma macropomum (tambaqui), 963 nucleotides long. It is a transcript of the gene named RNA polymerase II subunit I, with no coding region annotated. The transcript is spliced from 7 exons. Lineage: Eukaryota; Metazoa; Chordata; Actinopteri; Characiformes; Serrasalmidae. The record is from RefSeq and is a predicted model, not a curated record.
UGCGCAUGCGCGGCGGCUUCCAACGGGUUCUCCUUCGCGUCUGAAAACACGGUGUUAGCUUAGCUGCAAAACAUUGAGCUGUUUCGGUCAUUUAACCGUGAAAUAUCAGCUCAUUUCUGUGUUUGUAGUUGUAAAGUAUAAACUCGUCAGAGCUGUGAUGGAUUUAGAGAGCGGAACAUACGAGCCCGGGUUUGUAGGGAUCCGAUUCUGUCAGGAGUGUAACAACAUGUUGUACCCUAAAGAGGACAAGGAGAACCGUAUCCUGCUGUACGCUUGCAGAAACUGCGACUACCAGCAGGAGGCCGACAACAGCUGCAUAUACGUGAACAAAAUCACCCACGAAGUGGAUGAGCUCACACAGAUCAUUGCCGAUGUGUCCCAGGAUCCCACGCUGCCCCGGACUGAGGACCAUCCGUGCCCAAAGUGCGGCCACAAGGAGGCGGUGUUCUUCCAGUCUCACAGCAUGAAAGCUGAGGACGCUAUGCGGCUGUACUAUGUGUGCACGGCGCCACACUGUGGACACAGAUGGACAGAGUGAGGAGGAGGACGGUGGAGGAUGAAGGUUCUGCUUUGCUGUGGCUCCUGAUGCUGGAGAAGACGCCACAGAGGGUUCUCCGAGCGAUGCUGUGGAAUAGCGGUCACCAGCGCUGCUCCUGGAGAUCCACCUUCCUGCAGACCUCAGCACUGCUCGACCCACCUGACCGUCUGUAUCACCCUCAGACGUCCGUGGUCAGUUAGACGGGCUGAGCUGGGAUCAGGUUGGAGGUGAAACGUGAAGGACAGUAGAUCUCCAGGAGGAGGACCGGUGACCUCUGACAUAGAGGAACUGUUUUUGGUCCCCUAAAGAACUAUGUUUAAAAAAAACAUUGGAGUGUGAAGAACCUUUUGAAGCUGUUUAACUCAAUAUUUUAAGUUUUUUUGGGAACAAGAUGUUAUUAAAUUAUGAUAGAUAAUAAUAAAAAU